Long non-coding RNA from Dreissena polymorpha, 283 nucleotides. RefSeq lists it as uncharacterized. Lineage: Eukaryota; Metazoa; Mollusca; Bivalvia; Myida; Dreissenidae. The transcript has 2 exons. The record is from RefSeq and is a predicted model, not a curated record.
GGUAUAUUGCUUUGCUCAUGUCGGUCGGUCGGUAGGUCGGUCAGUCGGUAGGUCGGUCGGUCGGUCCGUCCACCAGGUGGUUGUCGUAUGAUAACUCAAGAACGCAUACGCCUAGGAUCAUGAAACUUCAUAGGUAGAUUGAUCAUGACUCGCAGAUGACCCCUAUUGAUUUUGAGGUCACUAGGUCAAAGGUCAAGGUCACGGUGACCCGAAAUAGUAAAAUGGUUUCCGGAUGAUAACUCAAGAACGCAUACGCCUAGGAUCAUGAAACUUCAUAGGUAGA